UGUGGACUCUGUGAAAGGCUCAGUCAACAAUCAGACCAUCCAGUGCACCUUCUCUGCUACUGUCCCCAACGCUACGGCCACCGGGAGCUCCGACACCAGCUUCUUCAUCUCCAUCUCCAAUGGGGAUUUUACUAAAGGAAUACUGGGUAGUCCCACUGCUGUCCUGGUCAGUAGUAAAGGGGUGGACCUGGGCAACCCCAACGCUACUGUGACCAACUCUUUGAACAACAUCACCACUACUGCUGCUCCCUCCACUACUGCUAGACCCUCCACUACUGCUGCUCCCUCCAGCCACGCCUUUGUCCUGCAGCACACCCUGUCUCAAGCUCUUCUGAUCCUGCUAGGUGUACUAGGUAUGAUGAUGCUGUAAUGCAGGUCUGAAGGGGAAGCACCAUGCACUCAGGAAUCCUGCCUCGUUGCCUUUAUUCACUU
Long non-coding RNA from Coregonus clupeaformis (lake whitefish), 432 nucleotides. RefSeq lists it as uncharacterized. Lineage: Eukaryota; Metazoa; Chordata; Actinopteri; Salmoniformes; Salmonidae. The record is from RefSeq and is a predicted model, not a curated record. The transcript has 3 exons.